AAAGUUUGAUCCUGGCUCAGGAUGAACGCUAGCGGCAGGCCUAAUACAUGCAAGUCGAGGGGCAGCGCGGUAGCAAUACUGGCGGCGACCGGCGCACGGUGCGUAACACGUAUGCAACCUACCUUCAACUGGAGGAUAGCCCGGGGAAACUCGGAUUAAUACUCCAUAACACAGGGAUCCCGCAUGGGAAUAUUGUUAAAGCUACGGCGGUUGAAGAUGGGCAUGCGUUCGAUUAGCUAGUUGGUGUAGGUAACGGCUCACCAAGGCUACGAUCGAUAGGGGGUCUGAGAGGAUGAUCCCCCACACUGGUACUGAGAUACGGACCAGACUCCUACGGGAGGCAGCAGUAGGGAAUAUUGGUCAAUGGGCGCAAGCCUGAACCAGCCAUGCCGCGUGCAGGAAGAAGGCCCUCUGGGUUGUAAACUGCUUUUGAUAGGGAACAAAUGCCACUUGCGAGUGGAGCUGAGUGUACCUAUAGAAUAAGCACCGGCUAACUCCGUG
This 501-nucleotide ribosomal RNA is filed under the name uncultured bacterium. Its description in RNAcentral is "bacterial SSU rRNA". It matches the Rfam family "Bacterial small subunit ribosomal RNA", at positions 8 to 507 of the family's 1533-position model. The record is from RNAcentral.